Molecule: long non-coding RNA, 1102 nt
Organism: Octopus bimaculoides (California two-spot octopus)
Lineage: Eukaryota; Metazoa; Mollusca; Cephalopoda; Octopoda; Octopodidae
Source: RefSeq, a predicted model, not a curated record
AUGUAUAGCCCCUUGUGAGCAGUAAAGAAAUAAGAAACGUUAGCACGUCGGGCGAAAUGCUUAACGGUAUUUCGUCUGUCUUUACGUUCUGGGUUCAAAUUCCGCCAAGGUCGACUUUGCCUUUCAUCCCUUCGGGGUCGAUAAAUUAAAAACCAGUUACGUACUAGGAUCGAUCUAAUCGACUGGCACCCUCCCUAAAACUUUCGGGCCUUGUGCCUAGAGUAGAAACGAAUUAAAGAUAGUUAUGUUCGGUCUAUGGGGUUACUCUGGGUUUCGCGUCCAUUAAGUACUUAGCUUUACAGACCCUGCUUUCAUUCAGUUCAAGAGAUUUCAACUGAAGUCCUAGAACCCACAAGGCGAUCGCGUCGACUACAGAUAGCGGUCUAAGGGAGACAAUCCCUUGCGUUUAAUCCUUUGUCCGUGUGUUGAAUAAGUAACAAACGAAGUCUUUUCUUCCUCCACUUCGAAGAGAGGUUAUAAGCCACCGGCUAUUAAGGUCUGAGGAAAUACCGUAAAGCUAGUCGCCCAUAGACUGGCCAUAAUUAUCUUUAUCUAAUACAUACACACACACGAUUUUGCCAAAAAGAAAAAAAAACACGAUUUCGAAACUUUAAUUUCUUUCCCCCGACUCCAUCUUUUAUUUUGCACUUUUCGAAUUUUUUAAAUUUGUUUUUUUGUAAUCUUUGUGGAAAAAUACAAAGAUUACGAAUCUAGAAAAGUAUUUUUCUAAAUUUCAAAUUUUCUUAGAAAACAUUCCAUUUCGCCCCUCUCCUCUUCUUCACGCUUUUCUGGAUGUUUUACGUAGUGGAUGUUUGUUUGCGCAUGCGUAGAUUUUCCCAGAAAUAGCAGACGAAAAUUUAUCAAACCCUCACUAGAAAACUCGCUUACAGAACAAGGUGGACUUGUGACAAAUGAAAAAAGUACAAGCAAAUUUUUGUUACAAAAAAUCAUUGUCAUUUUACAACUCUUGUCAUAGGAUUUAUGAAAGAUAAACAACGUAAUCAGUCGCUAAAAUCUUCAAAUUUUGAGGUAUUUGCUUCUAUUGUAUGAAUUCUAAAAAAAAAAAAAAAAAUUUAACUUUAAUAAAAGCCUCACAUCUUGA